CGUGCUCUGCAGCCAUUUUGUGAACCUGCAGAGAGGUGUGAGGAGGUGCAGAGCUAGCAAUUUGGUUGUUUGCUGUGGAUAUCGUUUGGACACCCCAGCAGGCUUUAUUCCAGGACAGUCAGGAGGAUUCCUGUUACCCCGGAGGAGAGCCAUUUUAGGAGCUUUUACAACAUUUGUAGAGAUGUCAAAGGACAAGCAGACCCGAUCCGCCCCUUCCCCCACCCCCUCGGAUCUAUCCCUGCAUAGCAACGAGGAGUGGGAGCCAACCCAGGAGGCGGAUACGACCGACCAGGCAUGUAGUGACCAGCCGCGGUCGUCAAGGGCCCAUGAGAAGUCCAAGAAAAAGCCUAGUAGAAAGGCAAGAAGCCAGCCAGAGAAGCAGUCGGAGGAGGAAGCCUCUGGUGAAGAUGCA
Long non-coding RNA from Pseudophryne corroboree (corroboree frog), 412 nucleotides. RefSeq lists it as uncharacterized. NCBI's taxonomy places the organism in Eukaryota, Metazoa, Chordata, Amphibia, Anura, Myobatrachidae. The record is from RefSeq and is a predicted model, not a curated record. The transcript has 3 exons.